GACGAACGCUGGCGGCGUGCCUAAUACAUGCAAGUAGAACGCUGAAGAGAGGAGCUUACUCUUCUUGGAUGAGUUGCGAACGGGUGAGUAACGCGUAGGUAACCUGCCUUGUAGCGGGGGAUAACUAUUGGAAACGAUAGCUAAUACCGCAUAACAAUGGAUGACACAUGUCAUUUAUUUGAAAGGGGCAAUUGCUCCACUACAAGAUGGACCUGCGUUGUAUUAGCUAGUAGGUGAGGUAAUGGCUCACCUAGGCGACGAUACAUAGCCGACCUGAGAGGGGGGUCAGCCAACCUGGGACUGGGACCCGGCCCAGACUUCCUAGGGGGGCAGCAAGAGGGGAACUUCGGCAAAGGGGGGAACGCUGGCCGAGCACCGCCGGGGGAGGGGAGGAAGGUCUCGGGUCGGUAAAGUCUGUUGUAUGGGAAGGAAGAGUGUGAGAUUGAAAAGUUCAUACUGUGACGGUAGCUUACCAGAAAGCAACGGCUAACUACGUG
Molecule: ribosomal RNA, 497 nt
Filed under: uncultured bacterium
Lineage: Bacteria
Description: partial 16S ribosomal RNA
Rfam family: Bacterial small subunit ribosomal RNA
Source: RNAcentral